UUAAAACACCGGUUCCCGUAUGAUCACCGAAGUUAAGAAACGUCGAGCCUGGUCAGUACCUACAUAGGUGAUCGCUUGGUAAUACCAGGU
Acanthosepion pharaonis is the source of this 90-nucleotide non-coding RNA. The record is from the annotation of a GenBank genome assembly. Lineage: Eukaryota; Metazoa; Mollusca; Cephalopoda; Sepiida; Sepiidae.